AGAGUUUGAUCCUGGCUCAGAUUGAACGCUGGCGGCAUGCCUUACACAUGCAAGUCGAACGGCAGCGCGGGGCAACCUGGCGGCGAGUGGCGAACGGGUGAGUAAUAUAUCGGAACGUACCCUGGAGUGGGGGAUAACGUAGCGAAAGUUACGCUAAUACCGCAUACGAUCUAAGGAUGAAAGCAGGGGACCGCAAGGCCUUGUGCUCCUGGAGCGGCCGAUAUCUGAUUAGCUAGUUGGUGGGGUAAAGGCCCACCAAGGCAUCGAUCAGUAGCUGGUCUGAGAGGACGACCAGCCACACUGGAACUGAGACACGGUCCAGACUCCUACGGGAGGCAGCAGUGGGGAAUUUUGGACAAUGGGCGCAAGCCUGAUCCAGCAAUGCCGCGUGAGUGAAGAAGGCCUUCGGGUUGUAAAGCUCUUUUGUCAGGGAAGAAACGGCCGUUUCUAAUACAGAUGGCUAAUGACGGUACCUGAAGAAUAAGCACCGGCUAACUACGUGCCAGCAGCCGCGGUGAUACGUAGGGUGCAAGCGUUAAUCGGAAUUACUGGGCGUAAAGCGUGCGCAGGCGGUUUUGUAAGUCUGUCGUGAAAUCCCCGGGCUCAACCUGGGAAUGGCGAUGGAGACUGCAAGGCUAGAGUUUGGCAGAGGGGGGUAGAAUUCCACGUGUAGCAGUGAAAUGCGUAGAUAUGUGGAGGAACACCGAUGGCGAAGGCAGCCCCCUGGGUCAAAACUGACGCUCAUGCACGAAAGCGUGGGGAGCAAACAGGAUUAGAUACCCUGGUAGUCCACGCCCUAAACGAUGUCUACUAGUUGUCGGGUCUUAAUUGACUUGGUAACGCAGCUAACGCGUGAAGUAGACCGCCUGGGGAGUACGGUCGCAAGAUUAAAACUCAAAGGAAUUGACGGGGACCCGCACAAGCGGUGGAUGAUGUGGAUUAAUUCGAUGCAACGCGAGAAACCUUACCUACCCUUGACAUGGAAGGAAUCCCGGAGAGAUUUGGGAGUGCCCGAAAGGGAACCUUUACACAGGUGCUGCAUGGCUGUCGUCAGCUCGUGUCGUGAGAUGUUUUAAGUCCCGCAACGAGCGCAACCCUUGUCAUUAGUUGCUACGAAAGAGCACUCUAAUGAGACUGCCGGUGACAAACCGAAGGAAGGUGGGGAUGACGUCAAGUCCUCAUGGCCCUUAUGGGUAGGGCUUCACACGUCAUACAAUGGUACAUACAGAGGGCCGCCAACC
This 1241-nucleotide ribosomal RNA is filed under the name metagenome. Its description in RNAcentral is "bacterial SSU rRNA". It matches the Rfam family "Bacterial small subunit ribosomal RNA", at positions 8 to 1255 of the family's 1533-position model. The record is from RNAcentral.